Molecule: long non-coding RNA, 660 nt
Filed under: Oryzias javanicus (javanese ricefish)
Lineage: Eukaryota; Metazoa; Chordata; Actinopteri; Beloniformes; Adrianichthyidae
Description: lncRNA (ENSOJAG00000008224.1)
Source: RNAcentral
CAGAGGUAAUCUACCUCAUCAGUCUCACCUGUAUGGUUGCCUUUAUAGCAGGUGCUGCCCUGCUGAGCAGUGCCAGAAGAUUGCCUGCUUUCCUGCCUGUGACGUGACAGCCUGUCAAAGCGGCUAUCUGCUAUGCACCUUUAUUGCCAUUGCUGUUCCAUUGUUUGCCUGCUGUUGGAUCUUAUGGUGAGACUCCAGGACCUUCUUGUCUCUUGGAGUUGGAUCUGAUGUGUUGCCCAACGGGGCCUCUCUCCCCACCUCCUUCCCUGGAUUUCCAUGACGCGCACUCAAAUUGUGUGCGUUCUCCCUACCACCACAAUGUACCUGACCUCCCUGGUGGACAAAGACGUCACAGCCCUAGCACGCGCAGCACUUGUGUCUAUCUUAAAAGAAACAUCAACUCUGCCUUACUGGGAUCCACUCACUCGUGCAUCCUGAUGGCUCUCCUGUUCAGCUGAAUGCAGUCAGACAGCAGUGGGAGGCAGAGGAAGCUGCUGAACAUCAGCUGCUGCACUUCUGCUCUCACUCCACCAGAUGGAGACAUGGAGCUGCAGCAGCAAACACUCCAUGAUGGAGGAACAUUUCACUCAUUCACUCACUUUAACCAAGAGAAUAAACUUGUUUCUACAAUUCAUGAAUCAAAUCAAGAAAUAAAGUAAU